ACAGGCUGGGGUACCAAGAUGGAGUCACACACCCAGAUCUUCAUAUUCCUGCUCCUCUGGACGUCUGGUGCUGAGGGGGACAUUGUGAUGACCCAGUCUCCUGAAUUAAUGUCCACAUCUGUAGGAGACAGGAUCACCCUAAGCUGCAAGUCCAGUCAGAUUGUGAAUGGAUAUGUGGAUUGGUACCAGCAGAAACCAGGGCAGCCUCCUAAACUGCUAAUCUACUCUGCGUCCAGUCGAUACACUGGGGUCCCUGAUCGCUUCACAGGGAGUGGAUCUGGGACAGAUUUCACUCUCAGCAUCAGCAGUGUGCAGGCUGAAGACCUGGCAGUUUAUUACUGUCAGCAGCAUAGCAGCUAUCCUCCCACA
Psammomys obesus (fat sand rat) is the source of this 369-nucleotide non-coding RNA. The record is from the annotation of a RefSeq genome assembly. NCBI's taxonomy places the organism in Eukaryota, Metazoa, Chordata, Mammalia, Rodentia, Muridae.